GGGGUUGUAGUUCAGUGGUAGAGCACUUGCCUAGCAAGUAUGAGGCACUGAGUUCAAUCCUCAGCACCA
This 69-nucleotide transfer RNA is filed under the name Ictidomys tridecemlineatus (thirteen-lined ground squirrel). Its description in RNAcentral is "Spermophilus tridecemlineatus (thirteen-lined ground squirrel) tRNA". It matches the Rfam family "tRNA". Rfam says of the family: Transfer RNA (tRNA) molecules are approximately 80 nucleotides in length. Their secondary structure includes four short double-helical elements and three loops (D, anti-codon, and T loops). Lineage: Eukaryota; Metazoa; Chordata; Mammalia; Rodentia; Sciuridae. The record is from Rfam by way of RNAcentral.